This 3015-nucleotide long non-coding RNA is filed under the name Equus caballus (horse). RNAcentral's name for it is "lncRNA (ENSECAG00000049263.1)". Lineage: Eukaryota; Metazoa; Chordata; Mammalia; Perissodactyla; Equidae. The record is from RNAcentral.
AUGCAGCCAGGGCUGAGCACCUCUGAUGGAACAUCUCCGUCCUUUUAGAGAUGAGGAAAUUGAAGCUUAGAGAACUACCUGCGUCUCGACCAAGACAUUCUGUUUCUUACAAUUCUACUUUAAAUGAAUAUUUGAAUGCUCACAGAUUAUCCUUUUAAAUCUCAGCAUCUCCAUUCUUGAAUUCAUUGUGUCUCUCUCAGAUGGCUGGACGUCGUGGAAUGUCUUCUUUCAGGAAGGAGACGUGGGCUUCUACUUUCUAAGUCCCGGCAUAAAAAUGCUUUUCCCCUGCAUUCUCGCUUGGAUGGCCACUUUAUUAAAGCAGACUUUCUCGAUUCUACUGUGCAUGCGAAUCACCUGGGGAGCUUGUUAACUGAAGAGUCAGAUGGAGAAGUUUUGGAUGGAGGCUGCAGUGCUAUAUUCCCAUUUCUAACAUGCUCUCAGGUGAUGCUGCCCUGCUGGUGGCUCGUGAACGACACCUUGAGUAGCAAGAGUGAAGUGGAGUCUGCCCACAGACUUUUCCGCUCCCUUUGUCAAGGGCCUUCAGGGAAUUUUUCUUGUUAUCCCUUUAUGAGAACCCCACCCUUAGCCACAGGGAUUGCUCUGUGGUUAUUGGAGGAGUGAAGGUUUAUUUCCCCCGAGAUCGUUAUACUGAGAAGCUUGUUAGUCAGAGUAGCCAGGAGACAUCGUGACUGCUAUCGGGUGAGACUGUUUAUCAAAGCCAAGUAGAAUCAAGUUGAGAGACGGAUGGAGAGUUCUGAUGUCUGAUGUCAUCACUUGAGCCUCUGGAAUUAAUUGUAGCUAAAGAUUUAUCCACAGAAUUUCCCAGAUGUCUGGGAACUCAGCUGGGAAGUCUCAAUGACCUGGGGCUGAAAUCAUCUGGAGCUGCCUUCACUUCAUAACUGCCUUGCAGUUGAUGUUGGCUACAAACUAGCAUCUCACCUGGGACUACCUCAACCGGAAUACCUGCACAGGCAUUCUACAUAGAGCCUGGACUUCCUCACAACAUGGCAGCCGCAGGGUAGUUGGACUUCUUGGCUUGGCAUGGAGGAAGUAGUCAGUAAAUAUUUUUGGAUGAAUGAUGAAAAAGCCUUAAUUUGAGUCUAUCCCCAAACCCCUAUGAGCUCAGGAACAGCUGAGGUGAAGUCAUAUAGUCCCAGCUGAGAUGAAGACAUAACCGGAGGUGACAAACCUAGAGAAGAGAGAGACAGGUUGAUGUGUCUAUGAGAGGACAUGAGAGCUGCCUUUGGAUGUUGAAACACUUUCUACACGGCAGAGAUAUGCCAACCGAGGCCAAGAGAAGUGAAGUGCUUUGCCCAAGGUUGCACAGCUAUUAACGAUCUGCAGGGCAGACGGAUGGAAGGUAGAGAAGAGCAAGGUCAAGGUGGAAGCCAUGGACAUGAAUAGGAGCCUGCAAGGAUCAACCCAAACCCAUGUCAGUUCUCACUGCCUCCAACUUGAAUGAAGUGGGUGUCCUGCAAGAGAGGCCGGCACCCUUCGUCACACAAGUGAACACACACCUCGCCCUGGAGAUGGUGAAGCUGAAGGAGGAUCAGGGGAAGGUGGAGCCAGUCGCAGGUCCAAUGGCUGCCCUGGACCAAUGAGAGGAAUAAAAGAAGAGGAAGACCCCGGCAACCUAAGCUUUGGAGGUCUUCGCAAGCUGGUUUAAUUUGCUCUCGCCCUCUUCCUUUGAUGUGGGAUGUCAGAGUCUGCUCACCAAAAGCUGCUGAAGAUUUCUUGCAAGAGCCACUAGGACCUGGUUCCUUCCUUGGGGCCUCUCAUUGGCUCCUCUAAGCCUGGCUUCUGCCUCCCAUAAACCACAGGAAAUUCCAGCACAAGGUAAAGAGUUCUCCAAUGGACACAGGUCCUGGAUAUUUCUUAAUUUCGAGUUCUUCCACCUCUUAUGCAUUGUCAGCCCCGUCAGAGCUUUGCUUGGAUGACAAGCGCAGAUGUCACUUCUCGCUGCAUUUGUUGUUUCUGUGUCUGUGGUAGUGCUGAUUCCUGGCCACUCCGACCUCCUGCUCUUCAGGCCUUAAUCUGAGCUAUUGCGAAGCCUCAGCAAAAGCUGACUGUGAAGCUUGGUCCUGAUGCUGACAGGGGCAAUCUCAUGGCAGAAAGAGGGCAGAGUGAGCAGACCUGGGUUUGGAUCCCAGCUCCAACUCUCUCUACCUUCCUAGUGUAUUAAUCAUGUUUUUUGUAUUCUGUUUUUUAUGACGUUUUGACAUCUAAAAAAAUCUGUCUGGGAAGACAACUGCUCCUGCUUCUGCUUUCUGACCAAAACCCAGUGUUCCUCCUGUGGCCCUGCGUGAUGAGCCAGGCCUCUUGUUUCUAGCAGGAUUGUGUGUAACAUUAAACUUUUCUUUCAACAGCACUGACCUCUCAGUGUCAUCACUCAGUCACCUUUAUAAAUUAAGACCCAGACACAAAGCAUGUGGCUGUGGUUAGGUUUUGCCCACGUGCUAACAGCUUUCAUCUUCAUCUCAUGCCCGCCACUCCCAUUGCUGCAGCCCGAGCUUACAUUGUCUUUAGAACUCUUGAUCUCUGAAGAAAAGCAAUGUUCUUUUUAUCCUGGCAUUCAUGUAAAUCCCCCCAGAGGGCUCUGAUUGGUCUUACUUGGGUAUUGUGUCCAAAAUGAAGCCAAUUAAUGUGUCCAGCUGUUGUGGAAAUGAGGCCACUGAUGGCCCAUCUUGGUGACAUGCUCAACCCUAUGGUAGAAGAGGCAAAGCCGCUUGAUGGACAGUGCCACCAGAAUCACUUUGAGAGAUGGAGUCAGUUACCAAAAGGAACGGAUACAGAACACAUAAAAAGGAAUGCAUUUCUUAUAUGCUGACGUGUCAUGCAUUCGGAAAGUAGGCCAUUUGAAAACUUAGGAUUGGAUUAAUUCAACUCUAGAAGUGCCAAGACCUAAGAAACCCAGCAUGUGACCAAAAAAUUAGAGUGAGACCCUUUUGCCUGGUUAAAGCAUAAUGAGAAAUUGGGGAGGGGAGAAUUUCGCAUUCUAAUUUUGGGAGACUUUUA